This is a long non-coding RNA of Gorilla gorilla gorilla (western lowland gorilla), 1045 nucleotides long. RefSeq lists it as uncharacterized. Lineage: Eukaryota; Metazoa; Chordata; Mammalia; Primates; Hominidae. The transcript is spliced from 2 exons. The record is from RefSeq and is a predicted model, not a curated record.
ACAGGCCAUGCCAGGCCUGGGGCAGCGAGGUCACAGCCUCCUGGGUCAGAUGCUGUGCCCUGGCCAGUCGGCAGGAGUGGCCUCGGCAGGCUCCGCAGCAGUUUCUGCCCCAGAGACCGUGCGUGGGACAGUUCCAUCUCAUCUAUUCCAAGAACCUGGACACCUUCCACCGGUAACAUUCUCAUCAGAGGGACAUCAGAGCACAUUCUCUCUCUCUCUCCCUCCCUCGUAAGGACCUAGGAAAAGGUGGCCAACUACGAGGCAGAAGAAAGCUUCAUCAGAACCUGACCCUGUUGGCUCCCUGAUCUUGGACUUCCGUCUCUGGAACUGUGAAGUCUAAACCACUCAGUCUAUGGCAUCUGUGUUAUGGCAGCAGGAGCUGAGACAUCCUGCAUCAUGCAGAUGAGGAAACAGAGGUGCAGAGAGGUGAAGCAGAUUGGCCGAGUUAGAACAAUGAGAAGGCAGGAGAGCUGGGAUUUGAAUUGAGGUAGUUUGGCUGCGGGUCCAGGCUUUUAAUCAUGUAUUUGGGGCAUGCUCCUUUAAAACUAGCAAACAAAAACUCCUAGAGGAAUGUGUUUGAAGAAGUCUGGAAACGCCUGAGUUGGAAGGAAAGGGUGUGAGAGUCUAUGGUAGACAGAAUAGUGACCCCCAAAGAUGUCCAUAUCUUAACCCCCAGAACUUGUGGAUAUCUACCUUGCCAAGUAAAUUACCAAGUAAUUUACCUUACUUGGCAGAAGAAACUUUGCAGAUGUGGUUUAAAAAUCUUGAGCAUCGGGGGGUGGUUAUCUGGGAUUAUCCUGGUGGCCCCAAUGUCAUCACAGGGAUCCUGGUGACAGGGAGGCAGAAGUCAGCAAGGAGAGAAGAUGCCAUCCUGCUGGCUUGGAAGACAGAGGAGGGGCCAUGAGCCAAGGAAUGCAGGCAGCCUCCAGGAAAUGCAGAAGGCAAGCAGACAGAUUCUCCCCUGGAGUGUCCAGAAGGAGAAGGCCCGUUUCAGACUUCAGAACUCCUGAACUUUAAGAUAAUAAAUGUGUCGUGUUUUAAGCCA